CCUACAGGGGGCUGCAGUGGGGAAUAUUGGACAAUGGGGGCAACCCUGAUCCAGCCAUGCCGCGUGUGUGAAGAAGGCCCUCGGGUUGUAAAGCACUUUCAGUGAGGAAGAACGCCUGGUGGUUAAUACCCAUCAGGAAAGACAUCACUCACAGAAGAAGCACCGGCUAACUCCGUGCCAGCAGCCGCGGUAAUACGGAGGGUGCGAGCGUUAAUCGGAAUUACUGGGCGUAAAGCGCGCGUAGGUGGCUUGAUAAGCCGGUUGUGAAAGCCCCGGGCUCAACCUGGGAACGGCAUCCGGAACUGUCAAGCUAGAGUGCAGGAGAGGAAGGUAGAAUUCCCGGUGUAGCGGUGAAAUGCGUAGAGAUCGGGAGGAAUACCAGUGGCGAAGGCGGCCUUCUGGACUGACACUGACACUGAGGUGCGAAAGCGUGGGUAGCAAACAGGAUUAGAUACCCUAGUAGUC
RNAcentral lists this ribosomal RNA (465 nucleotides) under Vreelandella stevensii. RNAcentral describes it as "partial 16S ribosomal RNA". It matches the Rfam family "Bacterial small subunit ribosomal RNA", at positions 338 to 795 of the family's 1533-position model. The record is from RNAcentral. Lineage: Bacteria; Pseudomonadati; Pseudomonadota; Gammaproteobacteria; Oceanospirillales; Halomonadaceae.